This 421-nucleotide ribosomal RNA is filed under the name Smeringopus cf. rubrotinctus DNA100437911. RNAcentral describes it as "partial 16S ribosomal RNA". It matches the Rfam family "Bacterial large subunit ribosomal RNA", at positions 1831 to 2597 of the family's 2925-position model. Lineage: Eukaryota; Metazoa; Arthropoda; Arachnida; Araneae; Pholcidae. The record is from RNAcentral.
UUCUUUAAGAACUAAUUUAAAGUAAAACCUGCUCAAUGAAAUUUUAAUAGCCGCAGCUAACUGUGCUAAGGUAGCAUAAUAAUUAGCUUCUUAAUUAGAAGAUAGAAUGAAAGGUUAAACGAUAAUUAACUGUCUCAUAAGUAAAAUUUAAUCUUCUAUAUUAGUUAAAAAGCUAAUAAAAAAUUGAUGGACGACAAGACCCUGACAAACUUAUAAUUUAGUUGGGGCAACAAUAUAAAAACACCUUAUAUAUUUCAACAAAUCCUGUAAAUAAGAAAUAGAAUAGUUACUGCAGGGAUAACAGCGCUAUACUUUUCAAGAGCCCUCAUCAAAAAAAGAUAUUACGACCUCGAUGUUGAAUUAAUUUAUCUUAUAGGCGUAAAAGCUUACUAAGUUAGGUCUGUUCGACCAUAAUAAAAUU